GACGGAGGAGGCAAGCGUUGUCCGGAAUUAUUGGGCGUAAAGAGCGCGUAGGUGGUUUUUCAAGUCAUGUGUGAAAACUUCAGGCUCAACUUGAAGAUUGCACAUGAAACUGGAUAACUUGAGUACAGCAGAGGAAAGUGGAAUUCCUGGUGUAGCGGUGAAAUGCGCAGAUAUCAGGAGGAACACCGGUGGCGAAGGCGGCUUUCUGGGCUGUCACUGACGCUGAGGCGCGAAAGCCAGGGGAGCAAACAGGAUUAGAUACCCUGGUAGUCCUGGCUGUAAACGAUGGACACUAGGUGUGGGAAGUUAUCGACGCUUUCUGUGCCGAAGCUAACGCAUUAAGUGUCCCGCCUGGGGAGUACGGCCGCAAGGCUAAA
This 377-nucleotide ribosomal RNA is filed under the name uncultured bacterium. RNAcentral's name for it is "bacterial SSU rRNA". It matches the Rfam family "Bacterial small subunit ribosomal RNA", at positions 524 to 898 of the family's 1533-position model. The record is from RNAcentral.